This 506-nucleotide ribosomal RNA is filed under the name uncultured bacterium. Its description in RNAcentral is "partial 16S ribosomal RNA". It matches the Rfam family "Bacterial small subunit ribosomal RNA", at positions 29 to 523 of the family's 1533-position model. The record is from RNAcentral.
AGUGAACGCUGGCGGUAGGCCUAACACAUGCAAGUCGAACGGCAGCACAGGAGAGCUUGCUCUCUGGGUGGCGAGUGGCGGACGGGUGAGGAAUACAUCGGAAUCUACUUUUUCGUGGGGGAUAACGUAGGGAAACUUACGCUAAUACCGCAUACGACCUACGGGUGAAAGCAGGGGAUCUUCGGACCUUGCGCGAUUGAAUGAGCCGAUGUCGGAUUAGCUAGUUGGCGGGGUAAGGGCCCACCAAGGCGACGAUCCGUAGCUGGUCUGAGAGGAUGAUCAGCCACACUGGAACUGAGACACGGUCCAGACUCCUACGGGAGGCAGCAGUGGGGAAUAUUGGACAAUGGGCGCAAGCCUGAUCCAGCCAUACCGCGUGGGUGAAGAAGGCCUUCGGGUUGUAAAGCCCUUUUGUUGGGAAAGAAAUCCAGCUGGUUAAUACCCGGUUUGGAUGACGGUACCCAAAGAAUAAGCACCGGCUAACUUCGUGCCAGCCGCCGCGGUAA